AAGAGAUUUCAUCAGCUCUAUUAAAUAGUAAAUCGAGAAAUAAGCACUGCAGCCAUUUUUUAUUUUAUUUUGAAGCUAAAGCGGAAGUACACUUGCUUGUAUCAUCUUGGCUCGUACAAAGGUGGUAAAUUAAUACACUGGAAAUAAUGCGUGGUAGUCGACGCUGGUGCAUUCGUCCGAGAUGAACUCGCUUGUGGAUGCGCUGUUGUGGUGGAGACAGCUGCUCUACAAACAUCUGUGCAGGCCUGCGUUUGCCACUGUGAUUGUCAGCGUUAAGAGUUGUUACCAAGUGUGAGGCGCCAUCGACACCGCCCUCUGCUUCCCAGGGGUCCGUCGUAGAACUUGCAGACAGACAAGGAUCCGGGUUUCCCCACCAGCGCCUCCACGGAAAACGCGUGCGCCCUGGAGCUGAGACCCUGCAUCUUGACCGAUGACAUCCUGCGUGAUGAGCCAUCUGGCCGUGCUUGUGGGGGCGCUUUUGUGUCAGCGUCCUGGUGGCCAUGGUCUGAUGACCUCCUGGUGCAGAUGGCUCCUGUGAUAGUGUUUACUCACCUGUCUCCUCUGUACUCAGCCAUGCAAUCAUUGGUCCAUAUAGUUGCAAUUGUGUGUAAGUUGUGUGAGUGUGUGUUUGUGUUUGGUAUCGGUGUCCGUGUGUACGUAUGUGAUAAUGGGGGAUAUAGGUCACCGGCGUAUUGUUUUUAACUUUGUAAAAUCACUUUUGCGUUGCAUUUCUCUUAUGUAUGAAAAUCGCUUUAUAAAUAAAGCUUGAUUUGAUUUGAGUUUGUAUGUGUUUUGUUUUUACAUGUUAUAAUCUGUGUAA
Molecule: long non-coding RNA, 820 nt
Organism: Nerophis lumbriciformis (worm pipefish)
Lineage: Eukaryota; Metazoa; Chordata; Actinopteri; Syngnathiformes; Syngnathidae
Source: RefSeq, a predicted model, not a curated record